This 24-nucleotide non-coding RNA is filed under the name Arabidopsis thaliana (thale cress). The record is from RNAcentral. Lineage: Eukaryota; Viridiplantae; Streptophyta; Magnoliopsida; Brassicales; Brassicaceae.
GGCCAAAUCGACUCACCGUUAACA